Molecule: ribosomal RNA, 380 nt
Filed under: uncultured Streptococcus sp.
Lineage: Bacteria; Bacillati; Bacillota; Bacilli; Lactobacillales; Streptococcaceae
Description: bacterial SSU rRNA
Rfam family: Bacterial small subunit ribosomal RNA
Source: RNAcentral
CUAUUCUAGAGAUAGAAGUACUCGGUACAUCGGUGACAGGUGGUGCAUGGUUGUCGUCAGCUCGUGUCGUGAGAUGUUGGGUUAAGUCCCGCAACGAGCGCAACCCCUAUUGUUAGUUGCCAUCAUUCAGUUGGGCACUCUAGCGAGACUGCCGGUAAUAACCGGAGGAAGGUGGGAUGACGUCAAAUCAUCAUGCCCCUUAUGACCUGGGCUACACACGUGCUACAAUGGUUGGUACAACGAGUUGCGAGUCGGUGACGGCGAGCUAAUCUCUUAAAGCCAAUCUCAGUUCGGAUUGUAGGCUGCAACUCGCCUACAUGAAGUCGGAAUCGCUAGUAAUCGCGGAUCAGCACGCCGCGGUGAAUACGUUCCCGGGCCUU